GAUCAUGGCUCAGGAUGAACGCUAGCGGCAGGCUUAACACAUGCAAGUCGAGGGGCAGCACGAGGUAGCAAUACUUUGGUGGCGACCGGCGCACGGGUGCGUAACGCGUAUGCAACCUACCUUUAACAGGGGCAUAGCACUGAGAAAUUGGUACUAAUUCCCCAUAACAUUCGAGAAGGCAUCCUCUUGGGUUAAAAACUCCGGUGGUUAAAGAUGGGCAUGCGUUGUAUUAGCUAGUUGGUGAGG
Molecule: ribosomal RNA, 246 nt
Filed under: uncultured bacterium
Lineage: Bacteria
Description: partial 16S ribosomal RNA
Rfam family: Bacterial small subunit ribosomal RNA
Source: RNAcentral